UUGUGAGGGGAGAGGAAGAAACCAGUACUACUGAUGGGAUUUUGUGGUGGCAGAUAAGGAAGGUUACUUACUCUGAGGUGUAUCUGGAAAUAAGGACAACAUUCUGAAGAAAACGCUAGAAGCUUUACAAGUACUGCUGCUCUUGAAACAACUUUCUUUUUUUCAGUCAGUCAAGACCAUUCACCUUAGCACCACAGCUAUUAUUCAGAAAUUUCCAUAUCACCUCACACAGGGAUGUCUUCUGAUCCAGGUUCCAGACCUAUUCUUCAUGGUCUGUGUGAAGGCUCCAGGCCCACCCAUGGGGAUUGGUUCUUGCAGCAAACCUGGCGUGGACCCACUAUUCUUGCCUGGAGGGGGAACUGCGGAGAAGCAGGAGAAGUUCCUAGGAGGAUUGGAAUACUGAAGUCACUGCUCCUUUCCCUGCCUCUUCAAAAUCCAAGUUUAUUUUAUUCAAUGAAGAAACACUGGCAAGGAUGGGUUUACAGCUGAGGCUCAAACCUGCAAGGAAA
RNAcentral lists this long non-coding RNA (509 nucleotides) under Calidris pygmaea (Spoon-billed sandpiper). Its description in RNAcentral is "lncRNA (ENSCPGG00000005453.1)". The record is from RNAcentral. Lineage: Eukaryota; Metazoa; Chordata; Aves; Charadriiformes; Scolopacidae.